Molecule: ribosomal RNA, 1529 nt
Filed under: Microbacterium sp. No. 7
Lineage: Bacteria; Bacillati; Actinomycetota; Actinomycetes; Micrococcales; Microbacteriaceae
Description: bacterial SSU rRNA
Rfam family: Bacterial small subunit ribosomal RNA
Source: RNAcentral
UUUACGGAGAGUUUGAUCCUGGCUCAGGAUGAACGCUGGCGGCGUGCUUAACACAUGCAAGUCGAACGGUGAAGCUGGAGCUUGCUCUGGUGGAUCAGUGGCGAACGGGUGAGUAACACGUGAGCAAUCUGCCCCUGACUCUGGGAUAAGCGCUGGAAACGGUGUCUAAUACUGGAUAUGAGCUAUGACCGCAUGGUUGUGGUUGGAAAGAUUUUUCGGUUGGGGAUGGGCUCGCGGCCUAUCAGCUUGUUGGUGAGGUAAUGGCUCACCAAGGCGUCGACGGGUAGCCGGCCUGAGAGGGUGACCGGCCACACUGGGACUGAGACACGGCCCAGACUCCUACGGGAGGCAGCAGUGGGGAAUAUUGCACAAUGGGCGGAAGCCUGAUGCAGCAACGCCGCGUGAGGGAUGACGGCCUUCGGGUUGUAAACCUCUUUUAGCAGGGAAGAAGCGUGAGUGACGGUACCUGCAGAAAAAGCACCGGCUAACUACGUGCCAGCAGCCGCGGUAAUACGUAGGGUGCAAGCGUUAUCCGGAAUUAUUGGGCGUAAAGAGCUCGUAGGCGGUUUGUCGCGUCUGCUGUGAAAUCCCGAGGCUCAACCUCGGGCCUGCAGUGGGUACGGGCAGACUAGAGUGCGGUAGGGGAGAUUGGAAUUCCUGGUGUAGCGGUGGAAUGCGCAGAUAUCAGGAGGAACACCGAUGGCGAAGGCAGAUCUCUGGGCCGUAACUGACGCUGAGGAGCGAAAGGGUGGGGAGCAAACAGGCUUAGAUACCCUGGUAGUCCACCCCGUAAACGUUGGGAACUAGUUGUGGGGUCCAUUCCACGGAUUCCGUGACGCAGCUAACGCAUUAAGUUCCCCGCCUGGGGAGUACGGCCGCAAGGCUAAAACUCAAAGGAAUUGACGGGGACCCGCACAAGCGGCGGAGCAUGCGGAUUAAUUCGAUGCAACGCGAAGAACCUUACCAAGGCUUGACAUAUAGAGGAAACGGCUAGAGAUAGUCGCCCCGCAAGGUCUCUAUACAGGUGGUGCAUGGUUGUCGUCAGCUCGUGUCGUGAGAUGUUGGGUUAAGUCCCGCAACGAGCGCAACCCUCGUUCUAUGUUGCCAGCACGUUAUGGUGGGAACUCAUGGGAUACUGCCGGGGUCAACUCGGAGGAAGGUGGGGAUGACGUCAAAUCAUCAUGCCCCUUAUGUCUUGGGCUUCACGCAUGCUACAAUGGCCGGUACAAAGGGCUGCAAUACCGUGAGGUGGAGCGAAUCCCAAAAAGCCGGUCCCAGUUCGGAUUGAGGUCUGCAACUCGACCUCAUGAAGUCGGAGUCGCUAGUAAUCGCAGAUCAGCAACGCUGCGGUGAAUACGUUCCCGGGUCUUGUACACACCGCCCGUCAAGUCAUGAAAGUCGGUAACACCUGAAGCCGGUGGCCUAACCCUUGUGGAGGGAGCCGUCGAAGGUGGGAUCGGUAAUUAGGACUAAGUCGUAACAAGGUAGCCGUACCGGAAGGUGCGGCUGGAUCACCUCCUUUCUAAGGA